Molecule: unclassified non-coding RNA, 133 nt
Filed under: Aureobasidium pullulans
Lineage: Eukaryota; Fungi; Ascomycota; Dothideomycetes; Dothideales; Saccotheciaceae
Description: sequence contains ITS1
Source: RNAcentral
GAGCCGCUGGGGAUUCGUCCCAGGCGAGCGCCCGCCAGAGUUAAACCAAACUCUUGUUAUUUAACCGGUCGUCUGAGUUAAAAUUUUGAAUAAAUCAAAACUUUCAACAACGGAUCUCUUGGUUCUCGCAUCG